Non-coding RNA from Camellia sinensis, 984 nucleotides. NCBI's taxonomy places the organism in Eukaryota, Viridiplantae, Streptophyta, Magnoliopsida, Ericales, Theaceae. The record is from RefSeq and is a predicted model, not a curated record.
AUGCCAGAUAUAUUUAACUUAAAUAUGCCAGAUAUAAUUAAAUUCCUUAUGGGAUAAAUUUGGGAUGAAAAGAAGUUUUUAGGAUGGAACGCAUAAUGUCAGUCUCUUUGAGUAUAUUAACAGAGUCGUCAAAGCCAUGUAUAUAUAUAGACAAAUUGUGAGUGUAUAUAUAUAAAUUCAUUUUCUCAAUUUUUGUUUCUCUAUCUUCUCACUCUUUUAGGACAAACAAAAAUAUCUGUAUAUACAAAUAUGGCACACCCAGAUGUUAAUGUUUGUUUUCUUUAAGAUGGAUUAUGUAUUAACUUUCUGGCUGUCUAUUUUGAUUUUCAUAAUAUUCAAUCUUAAGUUUUUACAAUUAAUGGCUGAUAAAUGUUAAUGAACUUCUUUUGUAAUAUGGAAUGGUGACUUUUCAAAUGUUUGAUCUUCAUUCAAUGGAAAUUUGUUAUUUCUGCAAGUGUAUUGGCAGCUCUCAUCUUUGUCUCUCUCCCACUCAUUUCCAUUAUGGUUUGAUGAUAGAGGGUUCUGAAUUAGCAUUGCAAGUUAUCCGAUCUACUAGUGGAUUUUUCAGUUGUAUGGACCCCUUUUGAUUGCUUGGACAUUCAUUAUGAGCUCCUGUGCUUGGAGGGAUGCCAUAGCCUCCAGACUCGAAGAAGAAUGACCUUAUGUUUAUGAACUUGGACAAGUUUAGUGACUUCCAGAUCAAAAUUUGCGAGCGAAGAACCAUGUUGGCAAUCAAGAAGGGGAAAUUCUCUUCAGCAAAUUGUUACUUUCACAUUCUUUGGGUUUUGGGCUUUUAAUAUGAAGAUGGAUUCUGUGUUUUAAUAUGAAAUUGUGCAGUCCCAAAUAUGUUUUAAAGUCUAAAAUGGCAUAAAAGAACUUUUUCCAGGCUUUUAGUUGUAAUAACUUUUACAUAUGGCUCCAAUUUUAAGACUCAAAUGGAAUGCCUGAUUAAACUAUAAUGUUAUACUGUUUGAAUUCUUGUCA